RNAcentral lists this ribosomal RNA (403 nucleotides) under uncultured bacterium. Its description in RNAcentral is "partial 16S ribosomal RNA". It matches the Rfam family "Bacterial small subunit ribosomal RNA", at positions 30 to 526 of the family's 1533-position model. The record is from RNAcentral.
AUUGAACGCUGGCGGCAGGCCUAACACAUGCAAGUCGAGCGAGCGGCGGACGGGUGAGUAAUGUAUGGGGACUGCCCGAUAGAGGGGGAUAACUAAUGGAAACGGUGGCUAAUACCGCAUACGGUCGGAUAACCCAUAUGGGAUGAGUUCGUGGGUAAGGUAAGGGCUUACCUAGGCGACGAUCCCUAGGUGGUCUGAGAGGAUGAUCAGCCACACUGGGACUGAGACACGGCCCAGACUCCUACGGAGGCAGCAGUGGUGAAUAUUUCGCAAUGGGCGCAAGCCUGAUACAGCCAUGCGGCGUGUAUGAAGAAGGCCCUAGGGUUGGAAAGUACUGUCAGUCGGGAGGCGUUACCGACAGAAGAAGCACCGGCUAACUCCGUGCCAGCAGCCGCGGUAAUUC